CAGCCGCCGCGGUAAUACGGAGGGGGCUAGCGUUGUUCGGAAUUACUGGGCGUAAAGCGCACGUAGGCGGCUUGGUAAGUUAGAGGUGAAAGCCCGGAGCUCAACUCCGGAAUUGCCUUUAAGACUGCCGAGCUAGCAGGUGAGAGAGGUAAGUGGAAUUCCGAGUGUAGAGGUGAAAUUCGUAGAUAUUCGGAAGAACACCAGUGGCGAAGGCGGCUUACUGGCUCAUACUGGACGCUGAGGUGCGAAAGCGUGGGGAGCAAACAGGAUUAGAUACCCGCGUAGUCCCUGUCUCUUAUAC
This 301-nucleotide ribosomal RNA is filed under the name uncultured bacterium. RNAcentral's name for it is "partial 16S ribosomal RNA". It matches the Rfam family "Bacterial small subunit ribosomal RNA", at positions 509 to 807 of the family's 1533-position model. The record is from RNAcentral.